Molecule: long non-coding RNA, 1377 nt
Filed under: Marmota monax (woodchuck)
Lineage: Eukaryota; Metazoa; Chordata; Mammalia; Rodentia; Sciuridae
Source: RNAcentral
UCCGUCCCUCGGUUCAUUUUGCAGAUGUGGACGUGGGACCUUGGUUUGCUCAGCGUCUUAGAGCUGCAGACGCGGGUCCCUGAUGAGCUUUUUGUCUAGGACGAUGUGCACCAGUUGUAGGGACGUGGGAAGGCCUCUCACUCUCGUUUUCAAAAUCCUGGGGCUGGUGUGAUACAAAGCCAGAGAAAGGGAUUUCUGUUGUCACCAGGUCCCAGAGCUGGCAGUCAGUGAGCCCCUCUAACUUUCUAGGGGGCCGCUAGCUUGUCCCUAGACGUGGGGCAUGUGUGGGGAGCCUCCAUUGAAAUCCCCACUGAAAGCCGAGAGCUGUGCUCAUGGUGGGUGGGUGUGACUUUGUCCUUAGCCGAAGGUUCAGAUAGUUCUGUCCUUUUGCUCCUUACUGAAUGAGCUACCUUGGUGGUUGGUGUCUUACCCAGUUCUUUUUCCCAUAAGUUCAUGGGUUUGGGGUGUUUUUCAGCCCUUCUUGGCCCUUUGAUUUUGAAAUAGGAACUCUUUCAUCUGGGUUGAUUGGGUGCCUCGGGGAGCUGUGUGACUUUAUCAUCUUUGUGGGAGCCAUUGGACUCCAAGGACAUCAGUCACUUAGCUGGGCACAGUGGUGCAUAUCUGCAAUCCCAACCACUCAGGAGGCUGACACAGGAGGAUCAUAGUUCAAAACCAGCCUCCGCAAAUUAGAGAGGCCCUAAGGAACUCAGCGAGAUUCUUUCUCAAAAUAAAAAUGGCUGGGGAUGUGGCUUGGUGGUAAAGUACCCCACUAUUUCCAGAAGUAUUGGGGUUAGAUCUUGCAACAGAGCAAUUUCUACCACAUCUUGGGCUCUCAAAGCAAACCUCCAACAUUCUACCUACUAACGGACUGAGAACAGAAUCCCGUAGAAAUGCAGGACAGGGCUCCAGCAAGCGGUCAGCAUUAGAGGUUCCAAGGGCCAUGGGCCUGCAUGCCCUCAUGAGUGUGUUCCUGAGCUGCCAACCAGCAGGCCUCACCCGAAGCUUAGGUCGGGACAUCUGCCCCUCGGAUGCCAUGGAGCCUGCUUCAGAAGCAGAACAAUAUGCUAAUUAAAAUGUCAUGUUCUGGCCUACAGCAGACAACAGCUGGUUUUAGAUUAAGAAAUCUUUUUUAAAGAAGUUGUGUCCUCCUGGCCUAUAGAGACAGCAAACUGGCCCUGACCCAAGUGUGUGCACUGGGCCAUUGCCUUGGGCCCUGGGGACCUCAUGGGAUGGGCCCGCUUGGAACUCCCGGGCUGGAAAUACUAUCUGUUUUUUCUGAUUAACAUUAGACAGUUGUUAAUGUUUUUAUCUCAUGUAUUUCACCAUGUCUCACAUGUGUUUAAGCCAAAACCCCCUUCUCUGUGAAAAUUAAAGAGG